UGUUUGUUUAGGGUAGACUGGUGGGAAUCUUCGACUGAGCUGGUCUCUCAUUAGCACACAGUGAGAAAACGAGUCUUCGGAGGAAGAUCAUUGUGUCUAACAGCAGCCGAUGUUCUGAAAACGUUCCAUCUAUGCUGGGAAGCAGGAGCCACAAAAACCUGGGCGAACAGCUCUGAACAUGCCAAACAGAUUCAUCGAAAUUGGUGAGAAAAGGAAUAAAUGCAUCAAAGAACAGCCGUCUACACUUUUAACAAGCAGGAUUCCAGAAUUAAGAGCAGUAAACGGUGUCCUGACAGUGGAGCUGAGAGGAGCAGUCAGACUGACGGACGGCGGCAGAAAGAAAUGCGUCGGGGAACACAUACCAGCACGUAACAAAUCUACAAUCUCUUUGUACAGUCAUGUUCCAUAAAACAUAAACAACAUUAUCAUCUCAUUUCACACCAUCGGCCUGAUGUCUGCACUUGAUUCACUGAAUGCCAUUCAUUGAUCUUGUCAUAGGACACUCAACGUUAGAUUAGAUUACUGUACUUGACUCGUAAAGUGAGAAGUUGAGAGUUCACUGAAUCAAUAAUCGCAUGAUAGACAAUGAAUGAACCUCUGCCUAAUGAUAUCAAGAUCGAAAAGUAAGGAAAUUAGAAAACCUGUACAACAACUUCAUAUCUCUACAGUUAGCUGAGAAGGAAAUGGUGUUGAAUUGUAAAUAUUUUGCACUCUCUCUGUAUUUACCUUUGAAUAAUGGGAUGUGUGCACAGCUCAAUACAACCACGUCUAUGCUAAACACACUAACCGUCAUGUUUAUUUUAGAUUUAUUGUGGUUAUUUUAUUUCCUAUUGGCCUAUUUAUUUGAAAAACUAGAACAACCAUACCACAAUA
Pimephales promelas (fathead minnow) is the source of this 873-nucleotide long non-coding RNA. RefSeq lists it as uncharacterized. The record is from RefSeq and is a predicted model, not a curated record. NCBI's taxonomy places the organism in Eukaryota, Metazoa, Chordata, Actinopteri, Cypriniformes, Leuciscidae.